RNAcentral lists this unclassified non-coding RNA (215 nucleotides) under Hevea brasiliensis (rubber tree). The record is from RNAcentral. Lineage: Eukaryota; Viridiplantae; Streptophyta; Magnoliopsida; Malpighiales; Euphorbiaceae.
AAAAAAACCCAAAAUAAAGCAGGUUCAAAAAAUGAAAGGGAAAAUAUCUGGCGAAAUUUUCUGGGAAAAAGGCAUAUGGCCUCUCAAAUUGAAAAAAACAAAAUGAAUUCCCUAUCAGAAAAAGCAUUCACCAUAAUUCAGACUGGAGUGAUCAGUGAUGUAGAUUUAAAAUCCGUAACCUGUCAAUCUAACCAUGUAACUCUGUCAUGAAUCUA